UGCACCUCUUGAGAGCGGCGGACGGGUGAGUAAUGCCUAGGAAUCUGCCUAGUGGUGGGGGAUAACGUUCGGAAACGGACGCUAAUACCGCAUACGUCCUACGGGAGAAAGCGGGGGAUCUUCGGACCUCGCGCCAUUAGAUGAGCCUAGGUCGGAUUAGCUAGUUGGUGAGGUAAUGGCUCACCAAGGCGACGAUCCGUAACUGGUCUGAGAGGAUGAUCAGUCACACUGGAACUGAGACACGGUCCAGACUCCUACGGGAGGCAGCAGUGGGGAAUAUUGGACAAUGGGCGAAAGCCUGAUCCAGCCAUGCCGCGUGUGUGAAGAAGGUCUUCGGAUUGUAAAGCACUUUAAGUUGGGAGGAAGGGUCGCAACCUAAUACGUUACGGCUUUGACGUUACCGACAGAAUAAGCACCGGCUAACUUCGUGCCAGCAGCCGCGGUAAUACGAAGGGUGCAAGCGUUAAUCGGAAUUACUGGGCGUAAAGCGCGCGUAGGUGGUUCAGCAAGUUGGAUGUGAAAGCCCCGGGCUCAACCUGGGAACUGCAUCCAAAACUACUGAGCUAGAGUACGGUAGAGGGUAGUGGAAUUUCCUGUGUAGCGGUGAAAUGCGUAGAUAUAGGAAGGAACACCAGUGGCGAAGGCGACUACCUGGACUGAUACUGACACUGAGGUGCGAAAGCGUGGGGAGCAAACAGGAUUAGAUACCCUGGUAGUCCACGCCGUAAACGAUGUCGACUAGCCGUUGGGAUCCUUGAGAUCUUAGUGGCGCAGCUAACGCAUUAAGUCGACCGCCUGGG
RNAcentral lists this ribosomal RNA (800 nucleotides) under uncultured bacterium. RNAcentral's name for it is "bacterial SSU rRNA". It matches the Rfam family "Bacterial small subunit ribosomal RNA", at positions 81 to 877 of the family's 1533-position model. The record is from RNAcentral.